CUUUUCAGUGCUCAUGGUAACGACGUCGUUUUACGUUACGAUUACUUGCUAUAAAUAUUAAACUGGACUAAAAUUAAGACCUUUUAAUUAACUUACAAAAAAGAUAACCUUUAUAAUAAAAUCGUGUUAAGCCAAAAUCCGCCUCAUCCCUAACCAGUGAGACAGAGAGAGAAAAGCUAUUUCAAUGGCGAUACAGAGCUCGAGUUCGAUCAAAAUUCAUGCUUUAGGCGAUACAACUCAAACCCCUUCUCUGUUUGAAGGGAGCUUCUGCGGGGAACUAUUUCUGGGGCAUUUGGGGAAGGAAUGACUCAUCCAGUUGUCUCUGUAAAUACAUGCAUUCAGAGCCAAGCUAAUCUUUGUGAAAGUCAGGGGUAUGAUCAUAGAGUAGAGAUGUUAUGGAUCUAACAUUCAUGGCUAAUGGGUAAAGCUCAAUUUUUUGGAAGGCAUUUAGCUUGAUAUUAAUUAUAUGUUUUAAGUUUUCUCUCAUUUGGCAUAUACUGGUCCACACUUGAAAGGGAUGUGCCAUUUCCUGGUCUAAUGGUUAUGUUCUAUGAAGGCUUGAAAGAUCGGAUAGAGUAUGGGAAGCAGUACAUAUUCGUAGGGAUGUAGCAAUACCAGGAUUCAUCAGGAUAAUCUAGCUUUAGCGCUUACCUAGAAGGAUUGAGCAAUGAUAACAUGCGAGAGGAGAAUUUUAAAUUUCUUUCCAUUUCGAUCUUGUUUGUUGAACAGCAUGGGGAAUUUUUACAUAUCCAAUUAAAUCAUUUGGACGAGAUUUUUCAUGUAAUCUGGGUAUAUAUGUAUAAAUAAAAAAACGAGGUUUUGCUUUUUCUUUUCUAUUAAAUGUAAAAGUCAUGGACAUGGAACAGGGAAGAGAUGAUUUGAAUAAUCUAUCUACUUUUAGUGGC
Molecule: long non-coding RNA, 905 nt
Organism: Prunus avium (sweet cherry)
Lineage: Eukaryota; Viridiplantae; Streptophyta; Magnoliopsida; Rosales; Rosaceae
Source: RefSeq, a predicted model, not a curated record